Molecule: long non-coding RNA, 754 nt
Organism: Solanum pennellii
Lineage: Eukaryota; Viridiplantae; Streptophyta; Magnoliopsida; Solanales; Solanaceae
Exons: 2
Source: RefSeq, a predicted model, not a curated record
CACAAUCAUUUUCAGCAGUGGGAACAAGGCGUCCCUCCAAUUUAAUUCUCAAGAUUCUGGAAUCCUAUGAGAAAGUAUCAGCAACUUAUCAACAAAAAUAAGAGCUCAUACUCACUAGCUCUUAAAACACUACAAAGGACCAUUAGAAGAAUUGGAAGGAUCCUGGACAUGAGAUUUGAGAAUCUCCCCCUGGAAUAUUUAGGGUGAAAAGAACUGUUCAAUUUUAAAUAACCAUGAUCUCAGAUCCUCCCCAUGAAACCUCAAGAAUUCCAUUCUUGACCAUCGCGUGAAAUUCGACUGGUUGGAAUGAUGCUGCAAAUUGGCUCUGCAACUCAAUCACUGUUCGAUCUAAGUUUUCCAGAGAAGAGAAGAAAUUUUUACCUGUUAAAGCUCCAACAUCUGUUAUCAAAUUCUGCAUCAUAUCAUGCAAAUCCCCUACUUCUGAAGUUGAAGUUUUAUUGAUUGGGUCUCCACUUGCUCUUGUCUCUUUCUCCAUUGAUGCCAAGGAAUCGUAUAGCUCUGAUAUCACUGAUAGAGGAUUCAAAGGCUAUUUCAGGAUCCUAUCAGAAAGGCUUCAAGAAAAUAAACCACAGAUUAUGGAAGAGAAGAAAUGAUUGAAGAAGAUUGAAUGUAGACAAAAAAUAUGUAUCUAUUCAUAUAUUUACAAUAUUUAUAGUUGCAUACAUUGAAAGAGAUUGAUCUAAAUCUGUUGCUAACUGAAAGCUAACUAAAUUCCUGACUGUGUAUUGUUCAA